GAUGAACGCUGGCGGCGUGCCUAAUACAUGCAAGUCGAGCGAACAGAAGAGGAGCUUGCUCCUCUGACGUUAGCGGCGGACAGGUGAGUAACAAGUGGAUAACAAAACUAUAAGACUGGGAUAAAUUCGGGAAACUGGAGCUAAUACCGGAUAAUAUAUUGAACAGAAUGGUUCAAUAGUGAAAGACGGCUUUGCUGUCACUGAUAGAUGGAUCCGCGCCGCAUUAGCUAGUUGGUAAGGUAACGGCUUACCAAGGCGACGAUGCGUAGCCGAACUGAGAGAGUGAUCGGCCACACUGGAACUGAGACACGGUCCAGACUCCUACGGGAGGCAGCAGUAGGGAAUCUUCCGCAAUGGGCGAAAGCCUGACGGAGCAACGCCGCGUGAGUGAUGAAGGUCUUCGGAUCGUAAAACUCUGUUAUUAGGGAAGAACAAUUGUGUAAGUAACUAUGCACUUCUUGACGGUACCUAAUCAGAAAGCCACGGCUAACUACGUG
Molecule: ribosomal RNA, 497 nt
Filed under: uncultured bacterium
Lineage: Bacteria
Description: partial 16S ribosomal RNA
Rfam family: Bacterial small subunit ribosomal RNA
Source: RNAcentral